This 253-nucleotide ribosomal RNA is filed under the name uncultured bacterium. Its description in RNAcentral is "partial 16S ribosomal RNA". It matches the Rfam family "Bacterial small subunit ribosomal RNA", at positions 524 to 776 of the family's 1533-position model. The record is from RNAcentral.
UACGUAGGGUGCGAGCGUUAAUCGGAAUUACUGGGCGUAAAGUGUGCGCAGGCGGCCGCGCAAGUCGAGUGUGAAAGCCCCGAGCUUAACUUGGGAAUUGCGCUCGAAACUACGUGGCUGGAGUGUGGCAGAGGAAGGUGGAAUUCCACGUGUAGCGGUGAAAUGCGUAGAGAUGUGGAGGAACACCAAUGGCGAAGGCAGCCUUCUGGGCCAACACUGACGCUCAUGUGCGAAAGCGUGGGGAGCAAACAGG